UCCUGCCUACUCAGGGGGUCGGACUCGAUGAUCUACUGAGGUCGCUUCCGACCCUAACAUCUAUGAAUCUAUAAGUGCUGCAGUGCUGUUCAAAAGCAUGUUUAUGUAGUGCCUGUGUUAAAACUUGCAGCAGUUUUAAAAAGUGAUAGCAUACAUCCAUUCUGGAUUAACUGAAGUCUAUGAGUGUAACUGCCUGGGGCUCUCUGUUCCUUUAAGGCAAAAGCAUCCCAGUGAGGGAGCGCUGCAAGGCAGGUAGGGUGCUGGUUGCCAGGGCAACAGAGUAGCUGCAGGUUGCUAGGGGAGUUGGGCCAAUUAGCAGGCACCUGCAGGCAGCCUAGGCAGUCUGCUGAUCGAAAGGAGGCAGGGCCCUGGGAGGAUAUAAGCCUGAGAUUUGAGGCUAGCAGGCUAGUCUCUCCAUGACAGCCAUAGGGUGAAGAGCUCCCAGCAGCAGAGCUCCUGAAGGGACUGUGGUGCUGCACAUGGAUCCCUGCAAUCAAGACAUUCAAACUGGCAAGCAAUUGGGAAUGAUUCACUUCUCCAAGAUUACAGGAGACUGGGAGAUGGCCACACCGGAAGUACCUGGCCCUGACCAACUGGAGCACCGUGGAGGCAGCUAUAAGAAUGCGACAAGACGGAGGGUGAGGGCCCCUGGAUGAGAAGCUGAAGACCAAGUACCAGAAAUUGGUGGAAAUGGAACACACCCAGAUGCAAAAGGGCAUUCUGAAUUCCUGAGCUUUCUGGCAGUCCAACUCUGAAGAACCCAAGCACCACCACAAGUCUAUGUGGGUCAGAUUUUCUUCUGUCCAGAAGAUCACACUUCUGCUGUACCUUCUAUAAGAGUUUUUUAUGAAACCUGUAAUAGGACCCAGGUCAAAGAAACAACGAAGGACUGCAUUUUCAGUUCAUUCCUUAACCUGCUCCCCCUACACUUAGGGGAAUUGUCCUAAUCUAGGUGAGCACCAGAGAACAGAGUACCAGGAGUGUUCCCCAACUCCCCUCUUACCUUUGCAUCUCUGUGUAGCUAAUGCGUACAGUCUUCUUUGACAGAAUAUGCAAUAUUAGUGACUCCAUGAGAUCUAAAUACCUAAAAUAUGUUUAGAGGGGGAUUUCUUUUCCUACUGAAUGUGUCAGUGGAGUGGUACUAGAUGAUCAAACUAGCAGAGUUGCUGCUCUAGAGUGUUCUUACUUUGAACCUGUGCAAAAAAUACUGGCUGAAUCAACUGGAACUAAUGGACUGUUAUUAGUUAUCCUAACUUCAAUCGCAGAAAAAAUAAUGGAAUGAUUAAUUUGGGACUCCUCCAAUAAAGAAUCGGAAGCAAAAAUACAGCUGAUUCCAGACAACGUGGUUCCUUAGAAGGUGUUGUCAAACAAGCAUUUAGGAUAAUUAACAGGGUACACACCAGACCAGGGAACAACCUAUAGCCUGCAGAAAGAAUGCAGCCUCCAGAGCGUUUGGAUCCACCCUGCAUAGUCAUGGCCCCAGUGGCAUUCAGCAACAGGGGUUGCCUACACUACACCAUACUGCAGCAGGGUACCCAGGGCUUCAGCUAAGAGAGAGGUUUCCCUAUGCUGUGCCACAGUCAGGAGGCAAAAGGAAAGGAUGGAAUGUGUCAAGUCCUAGUGUUCGCCCACCUCAGACCCAAGCUGGGUCAUUCUAGUCCCCUGCCAGAAAACAUCAUCAACCCCUGCAGAUUAAGAACUGUCUCACUGACAAAUCUCAAAAUACAGUUGUAAUGGGGAGAGAUCUGUAAACAGAACUGUUGGUAGUUGGGUUCCUCAAGGAUCAGUUCCAGGUCCAACAUUAUUCAGCAUUUUCACAAAUGAUCUAGAAGAUAUUCUGGAAUUUUUAAAACAAGAUUAGUUCUCCUUCUAAAAUAUAAGAUUUAAUCCAGUUUCUGGGAAAAAUUCUACAACCUGCAUAUGUUGGAGGUCAGACUGGAUUGUCUAAGGGUCCCUUCUGGCCAGAGUCUAUGAAUCUGUGAACCUAAGUUUCCUCUAGGGCUCCUUUUGCAAUACAACCCUGCUAUACAGGCCACAGUCUGACCUACACUUAGGCAAUCAGAAUGCAGAUGUUGUAAUUGUACAUGCAGCCUGUGAUCUGUGUAUGCACCUGAGAGUUCUUUCACAUGCAAAUAGAUAUGUCAGGAAAUAUUAAUAGAGCAACUAAAGAACAUGUUUACAAAUUGACCCUAAGUGUCCAGGACUAAUCACUAGACAGAUGGUUAACUGAUUACUUCAAAUGGCUAAUUGAAUUGAUGGGAUCUUACAGCAGAAUUAAAAGCAAGAAAAGUGUUCCUAUGUCAAGAUAGGGAACACACAGAAAGAUCUGUAACAUAAGAUUAAUAACACAGUAAACACCAGUGUAUUUAAAGCAGUAAAAAUAGCCUGGAUGCUCACAUCAAACUCUUCAGAGUAUUUUCAUGGGCAUUCAAGUGCUCUAGUGUAUCUUACAUAUGCUCAGAGUGCUAAGAGCUUUCUGUCCUGGAAACAGGCAUCAUGUUCACUGUCAACAGUGCCUUGACCAAUGAGAUACUAGAAAGUACCUGAGGUGACCAAUUUACUGAAAGCCUCAGAGACAAUUAAUAGGCACAGCCUGUAACCUAACUUCCUGGAAAAGAUGACUGGACAUAAAAUCCAGGCUUCAGAAGAUCUCAGUAGAAGCAUGGCUCAGCAGUUUCCAAAAUGCUGUAGAACCAGAUGAGAGUAAAUCUUGAUAAUUCACAAGCCUUGCAAACAACCACUCCCUCCUUGUCAAGCCAAAACAAACACACCUUUCUGAAAUAACUUUGAAUGUGUUUACUUUCUGGCAAAGAUUAAGUGAUAGAUUGGUAAUUGCAUCUCUUUCAACGCGCUCUUCUGUCUAUAUGAAACUAUUCCUUCCAGAGCAGGCCUGAGGGAAAACAGUGCCCUCAGCUAACUUGUAUUUUGGCAUCCCCUUCCCACCUCCAAGUCAGUGGCACUGCUACAGGCACUGCUGCUGUAUAAGGGCAAGGUGGGUAGACUGGAGCAGGAGCCCACCCUGCAGGUGCCCGGCCCGGCUCCUCCUGAAUAGUGGUUGGAAGCAGGGGGCAGGCUGGGCAGGACUGGGCUGUGCUGGGCACCACUCCUGCCUGGGACAGAAAAUUAGCCAACACAGGCCAGGCAGGGCAGGGCAGGGCAGGGCAGGGGAAGAGGACCAAUAUGUAGUUGUAUGCACCUUAUUUUUCAUUAUGAAAGGCAUUAUGUACUCAAAAACUCCUGAUCACUCAAAUAAUGGUCUAGUUGUAUUUACAACAACUUGCAGAACUGGGCAACUUUUUGUAAUUUUUUAGUUGCUCUUGAUACAAAGUUCAAAAUGUGCAACAGGUUCUCCCGGUAGCUAUAACGAGUGCCUGGCGCAAAAGUAUUAUACAGUCUCCAUUAAUCAAAUAUGGCAAGAGUGAGGAAUUGAACACCAGGCUUGCUUUUACUUCCUGUAAUUUUUUUUUAAACACUCCCUUAUAUUUUGGCCCUUUAUUGGUCUAUUUCUUGUAAAUUCCUGUACAAGUUUCCAGACUCUCUCUCAUGUUCCUUUUUUAUCUUUAUCGGGGUUAGCAAUGUUUUUGGACAGGGUGCCAAAAACACCCUUGAUCUCAAUUUGUAAAAUGUUGGUGUGCCAGGGACAGAUGGCAGAAAAGCCCCAAGAGGCCUGAUCCUUGUUGUGGUAGUGCAGCCCUGGCCCCUUCCCCACCAUCUGCCUCAAGGCACACAUGCCAAGCAAAAGGCCUUCACGUGCCAUGCUCUGGUACCCACGUGGGGAGUUGCUUACUCCUGAUCUAUACCUUUUGCCUCUGCAGUAGGGCUGGCAAAGAAAAAGCUCAGCCCUGCAUCCUUAGGCUGAGAUUCCUGACUGAGUGUUCCACAAGAAAGAACAUUUUGCCCUUAGUCUUUUUAGCCAUCUCAAGUAAACGAAAACCUCAAAUGCGGCAUGGAAGCUUUUCUUGCAACACACCUCACAUGAACUUAAUUUUGUAUCCACUGACAACACACAUGUUUCCAUUAACCCCUAAAGUUUCUGGAUGGUGGGCAACUUUUCUGAUUAAGGAUUGCAGCACUCCUACUACUCUGCUGUUCUUACAGUCACAGGGCUAAUAUUCUUGAACUUAUAGUGCAUGACAUUAGGAAAGAUAUUCUACCUAAGUGCCAUGCUACCAUAUCUUCUCAUACUUCUAAACACUUUGGUCACUUGCUGCCAGCUGACAUACUGAAUUAAGUGCUAGUUCCUCCCAUCAGCCAGGACAGAGGCAGUUGUAUAAAUCUCUACACCCCUACUAACCAGAUCCUCCUAUUCUUCUAGCACCUAUCUUCCCCUAUCUACAGCCUCCACUCCACCUGCCAUUGCUCUCUUUCCAUCAUACACUCAAUCAGGGUUCAGCAAAGCAUCUUCUUCAGCUCCACUCUUCACACUCUACCUCUGCCUCAUUAGCUUUCCAUCUCGCACUGAUUUCCACUCUACCAUCCCACUCCUGAAUUAUUAAAAUGUUUAUAAUGAAGGAGACAACUUUUCAUAAUAAUUUUUUCCUUCAUACAGUUCAACUUGGAUCUGUUCUUUCAACAUCUUCUGGUCAAUAAGAAAAAGAGGAUUUAUCAGGUGGCAUUUCAUACAGUCUUAACUGCACGUAUCAUGUAUAAUACACUGUCACUGAAUUAUGUACUUGCUCUACAUUUAGAAGAGUUAACGAUAAAUAUAGUAACACAAAUGUUUUGGGCAGCCUACUCAGUGACAAUCUAUGUGUUUCUGUACUUAAGUCAGUGAUAUCCUCAGCUGUGAACUACUUGAUUUUCUGGGUACAUACAUGCUACCUUGUAAACACUUCUACCCUUACUAGUUAAGGUACUCAUACUGCUUCCAUUGAAGCCAAUGAAACAUUUCCCACUGAUUUCAAUAAAAGCAGCAGUAGGGUUCUGAAAGGUGCUUAGCAGCCACCAUUCCCAUUGACUUGCAUGAGAAUGGAGGAUGGCUUUCUAGCUCUGCAUCCUGAUUCACCAAUUGUGAGGCUGGUUUUUAAUUUGCUGGAGCCAGAAACAGGAAUAAAGUUCUGGGGAGAUGCCUAAAACAGUUUUGUUUGUUUUACAGAAGAAGCCUGAGCCAAAUUAAGCUCCACCCUUUUUGCUGCCAGUAGCAACUAGCAGAAGGGGUUUAUUAUUGUUUGUAAUAUUUAAAUGGCUUAUUAAACAUUUUGGGCAGAUUUUUAUCUUCUUUUGAGUUUCACAGGGCUGCAACUGGGAGCAGAAUGAGCACCCUGGAACUGGUUUCAUUCCCUGACCCUGAUCUGCCCAGUGUUAGACUAAGGCCAUGGAUGGAAGUUACAUUUACAGCAUUACAAACUCCUUUGUAGUGCUACAAAAGUCAGUCAGACAGAUGUGCACACCCUUUGGAUUGCUACAGAACUAGCAAAGAACCCACAAAUGCUGUGUGUGCAUGUGUGUGUGGCUUUAAACAUAAUAUGAUAUUAAGGAAAAAUAUUUAUGUACACUUAUCCCAUGACAUUUAUUUAUGUCAGGAUUAUACAUCCUCAAAAAAGAGGAUGAUGGAAGCCCAUUGUUUAAACCACAGCAGCAUUGUUAACCAAAUACCUUGGCUAAUAAUAAAUACUUGUCAAUGGCCAGGGUCAGUGCUUCUCUUGUGCUACUAAAUGUAUCACCAUAGUAAGCACAAUGAACAAUCCAAAAUACAAGUCUUUAAAAGAAAACGUUUGCCAAAUAUGCUCCUUGUAUACCACAAUUACAAUAAUAGAUUGACAGUUUGCAUACAAAUACCUUCAUAAAUAAAUCUGUUAGUACCAUGGACAGGUGAUAUUCUGAAGAUAUCUAGUGGAUAAUGCACUGGACUGAGACUCAAGGGACCAGAGUUCAAUUCCUGUUUUUUUUCACAGACCUUCUACAUGACAUUGGAAAAGAUACUUAAUUUCCCUUGUUCUUAGGUAGUACUUUCUUACCUAUCAAGGGGUUUGUAAAGAUAAAAUGACUUAAUCAUUGUAAUGUGCUCAGAUACCUCAGUAAAUAGAGGCUUUUGCACUUAACAGGCCUCUGGUUUCUAACUAAUACUGGAUUGCUUGAAAAAAAAAAAUACUUGAUACUGAAAACUCGUACUUGAUUGCAUAGUACAAUCCAUAACAUUUCUCAAUAUUUUGCAGUAAAUAAGCCAAUCUGCAAGAAUAUGCUGUCUAAAAAUACAAAAUAAACAUAACAUCCCAACCAGCAACCCUUGUAUUCAAGGGAUGGCUAAGGGGCUUUCCUUCUGUGAUAGAGUUCAUUCCAGUCUCUGGUCACAUCAUACUGCUAAACCAUGUUUACUGACUGGCCCUUGCUCAAACAUACUCACAAAGCAGCUUAUUUAUAUCUGAAGUGCUCCCAACUGCACCAAAUGGUAAGUACAGUUACAAACACACUUUCCUGCCUCAUGAAGUAUCAGCCCCAAAUUAAUGUGCUUUCUUUGUCUGUAAGUUUUGCUAACCCCUAGUAACAUUUGGACCUAAGAGUGCCACUUUACUAGCAGCAACAUGAACAAUGUAUUAAAAUAUCUAUAAAAAAGGAGAAAUGUUAUUAGGGCCUUAUCAGGGUUGUUCAGUUUCUUCUCCCUCUGUCAGUCCUAUAAAGUGACGUAGGGGGGUGUUAUCUGCAGGAGAUAAGAACUAGAAUUGGACUUCCAGAGAAAACUGUUGAUGAAAUGGCCUGUUCCCACCAAAUAGUAACAUCAGUUUAUUCUAAGACAGUGGUCAACAACUCAGAGCCAUGGGUGGGAUGUGGCUCUCAGAGCUGCUGGGACUGGCCCACAAAGCCGGAAGGAAGGCUUUGUUUCUGCCCUCACUUCUGCUGAAGCUGGGCAUCAAAGAGCUGCACUGGGUCUGAGCAGCUGGAAGCAGCAAUCACAUCACUGCCACUUCUCCCCACCCCCUGCAUCCCGGCUGCACCACAGGCUCAGCUUCCAGCUGGUGAGGAACUGAACUGGGGCUGGGCAGCUUCCAGCUACACACACAUUGCAGCUGUGAGUGGAGGGAAGAGAGGAAAAAGCAGCAGUGCAGAUGCAGCAUCUAGCUCUCCAGCUCCAAUGCAGCUCCCCAUCAGCUGGAAGCUGUGCUCAGGCAGAAACUCGGGAACAGGAGGCUAGGAGAAGUGGUGCCAAUGCAUCUACCAGCUGCCUAGCCCUGGCAUGGGCACAAGCAAACCCCCUUUGCUGCUGACAUGCUGUGGAAGCCACCCCACCCACACCAGGCAGAAACCAGGUCGUUCCAACCCACAGCAUGAAAAAGCUUCCAGCCCCUCUUCUAAGCUAUAGUUUGUCCCCAGACUAUUGGAUACUUUUUCUGAAAACCUGUAUAUAAGGGAACUGUUGCUGAAAUGGGCCCUGUUACAUGGCAGAGUAACAGAAGUCAAGAGACCCUGUUACUUUAAGACUCCUUUCUAAGAAGGAAAGAACAGCAGGCUGAGGCUGCAAUUUGCUGUGUACAGCUGAGCUAGGGCCAGGUACAUGAGAGUAGCAGCCAAGGGAAGGCCAAGAUAGUGGCUACAGGGUUUCAAGUGCAUCACAGUAGGCAAAAAGGCAAAGCACAAGGCAGGGAGGAGAACAAUGACUGUGGCUCAGCUGAGCAAAUUGCAGGGAAAUGUGCAGAGAGCUGAGGGGACACACCUGUGGCUGGUCAGAAAAGCACAUGACCAAAACAGAUGGAGCCCAGGGAAAUAUAAGCUGAGCUCCAGAACAGUCACUCUAGUCUAGAUCCUGAAAAGGAAGGAGGUCUUGUUAGCAUUACCUACUGCAGCAUGGAAGCUGCAGACCUAAAGAAAUACCUGGAAGGGAGCCAGCUGAUUAGGAUAAGGUUCCUGUGGUAGUAUAGAGCAGUGGCUCUCAACCUCUGUAGAGUUUAGACAAUGCUUGUUAGGACUUGAGGCACUGUUUAGACAAUGCUAACUCUUCUUUUUCACCUUUUACUAUGAUAAAAGAAUAGAAUAAUUCUUCUGUUCCAAAGAUCAAAACAGGUCAGAAUGUUUUUAACUCUACAACUUAUGUGAAAUCUGUUUAUCUUCUGAACUGUGUUUGUACACUUAACAAUGCUAACUAACGUUCUAUGGCACCCUUGAAAGGAUCUCCAGGCACUGCAGGGUGCUGAAGCACCCUGGUUGAAACAUUAUUGAUACAGUAUAUGGUUAGAGACUACUUUGGUUUGGAACUUUUUCUGGUUUAACUGGUGGCUUGGAAAUGACUAUCAAGGGUGGAUUGCAGGCCACACUACAGGGUACCUGUGGCACUCUACAUUUUGAGCUCUGCCCCAUGCAGAAGCACAAAGUAGGCUGAGGCCAGAAUCGGGAGGUUAAGGCUGUGACAGCUACAGUCAGAAACAAGGUUGAGUGGGGGGGCUGAAACCAAGAUGAGACCAAGGCUGGAGGGCUAACAGAGGCAGCUAUCCUGCUGGGGACAGGGGCCUGGUGGGCUGAAUGAGUAUAUGUGAAGAUGGGGCCAAAAGGGCCUUCUACAUAAAGGUAGAGUAAAACCUGUAAGGUAUAGGUGUGGCUAUGGGGGAAGCUGCAGUCUAUGAUUAGGGGUGAAGACCCAGAUAGCUACACAAAGGGAUGGGUACCCUGAGAGGCAGCUGGUCUAAGCACAGGGUAGUGCUACUGAGGCACCAGGUGGUUUAGCCCGGGGCUUGAAAAACAUAUUGGGAAAAACAAGUGACUGAGGCCAAACACGAAGAAAGCACCCCAAGGCUUUCUUUGAGUCUCCAAAGGCAAGCUCCCAAAUCUAUCGGUCAUCAAAAAUGUGGCAGCUGAAAAGGAGGCAGUAGGCUUGGGAGGUCAAAGUCUGCAGGGAAGGACAAAUUCAGUUGCCAGAGGGAGCCAUGGUUGUUGUCUUCAAGGGCCAGGAAAGGGGGUGUAAGCAAGUCAGUGAGCCUAUUGUCUUCCAGGCUGGCCUUGCUGGGGGGGGGUGCUCCUCAGCUAGUUACUUUUAAGAUGGGUUGGUGAGCGUGCUGACUUUCAGUCUGACUUUGCCUUGGGGGCAAAGUCUGCUGGAGCUACAUUCAAGGAACUGGCUGAGUAAGCAAGUCUUACUCAAACCAACUGAAACUUGUAGCCCUUCUCUGGGCCCUGAGAGGCCCUUUUGCUCUGGCCCCUUCCUAGUAUCAAGCUUAUCUAUGUUCCAGUCAGCCUUCUGCCCACAGACCACUUCUUCCCCCUAGCUCAACUCUCCCUGUUCUCCCCUCUGGGGUUUUAACUGCCAGUGAAGUACUCAAAGUAGUUAAUUUCCUGCAGUUCGACUGUUACAACAUGGCUUUUUGCUCCCACUUAAAGGGCCAGCCCACCUUGUUACAAAGGCAAUGGAAAGAAAUUCUAAAAUCAAACUGUUAUUAACCUAGUGACUUAACUGACUUAACCCAAACUUGAGCAGUGUAUAGAUAUCACUACAUAUAGAAAGUCAGAGAGGACCAGCAACUGGCAUGACAAUCAAAGUCUGCUUAUUGUCUUUCAGUUUAAGUAUAUAUCCACUGGCUACACUUCAAGUGGUCUUCUUUUUAUAUUUUAAGGCCAAAUUCUGCACCUAGGUAUUUCCCACAAUUCUAUUUAAUCCAUUAGAUGAAACACUCUAGCUCUUACGUUGAACUCUGGCUGAAGUUAUUAAGAUGUGUGACUACACAUCUGGGACAUAAGGCCCAGUCCUCUGCCCUAUUCUAGUUCUGGCAUUGCUGAGUCUGAGCAAAGCAGCUAGAAAUCUGCCCUAAAUGGAAAAACUAAGAUUUUUUUCCCAGGAAAUUCUCUCCAGAGAUGCUACAAGUCUAGGCCUGUGCGAAGUGCCUAGUAUUUGCUUCGGAUUCGGCAGAUUCAGGAGCCAGUGAUUCAAUUCAGUGAUUCAAAUCACUGUCCCAAAGUGAUUCAGCCAAAUCCAAUUCAG
Molecule: long non-coding RNA, 9901 nt
Organism: Alligator sinensis (Chinese alligator)
Lineage: Eukaryota; Metazoa; Chordata; Crocodylia; Alligatoridae
Exons: 4
Source: RefSeq, a predicted model, not a curated record